UACGUAUGGAGCAAGCGUUAUCCGGAUUUACUGGGUGUAAAGGGAGCGCAGGCGGCUUUGCAAGUCUGAUGUGAAAGGCCGGGGCUCAACCCCGGGACUGCAUUGGAAACUGUAAAGCUAGAGUGCCGGAGAGGUAAGCGGAAUUCCUAGUGUAGCGGUGAAAUGCGUAGAUAUUAGGAGGAACACCAGUGGCGAAGGCGGCUUACUGGACGGCAACUGACGCUGAGGCUCGAAAGCGUGGGGAGCAAACGGG
RNAcentral lists this ribosomal RNA (253 nucleotides) under uncultured bacterium. Its description in RNAcentral is "partial 16S ribosomal RNA". It matches the Rfam family "Bacterial small subunit ribosomal RNA", at positions 524 to 776 of the family's 1533-position model. The record is from RNAcentral.